CAGAUGCACACCCAUCUGUUGUUGUUAUUAUUAUUAUUCUAAAACAUUUUUCCUGUAAUUUUUAAUUAGAAAAUGUUGUACAGGAGCCAGCCACCCAUCUUCCUAUUUCCUUUAGUUCACUCAACUGUAGAUUAAACCAGAUUGUUAAAAAUCUGUAGCCAAAAAUGAAAUGAAAUUAAAAAGCCAAAUGAUUCAAGAGGGUAUCCCCCAAGAGUCUCUCUUUCCUCUUUCCCUGAACAUCUAUCAAUAUUCAGAAACAAGAUGACCAAGCCCAGGUAACUGCCCUGAACCACUUCAAGGCUAGAGGGAAAGACAAAUUCAGAAAGUCUAUUGUAGGUGCUACCACACAACAGGGGCACCUGAGAGUAAGCGUGAUGACGGUAGGGGUGAUGAGAAGAGGGAUCAAGGAUUACUUCCUAGAAGAGGUGACACCUGAGCUCAAAAUAUGAAUAGAAGUUAGGAGCCAGGCAUGGUAAUGGUGCACACCCAUAAUUCCAGUGACUACUGGGAGGCUGAGGCAGGAGGAUCAGAAGUUCAAAGCCAGACUCAGCUACUUAACAAGACCCGGUCUCAAAAUAAAAAGUAAAAGGUAGCUCAGUGGUAAAGUACUACUGGAUUCAAUUUCCAGUACUGGGAGAAAAUUUUUAAAAAGAGUUGAGAGGUGAAUGUGGGGGAUGGGAUAAUGGGGGAUGAUGGGUAGCUUCCGGCAGAGAGGAUGGCACGAACAAAGUGAACAGAAAUGACACUGUCUAUUUGAUAAACUACAAACCAUUUAGAGCACAUUGUGAAGUAGGGAGAGAGUAGCAGGCUGAAUAAAGGCUUCCAAAGACAUCAGGUCCUAACACCAGGAGCCUGCAAAUGUCACAAUAAAAACAGGGUCUAU
This 883-nucleotide long non-coding RNA is filed under the name Marmota monax (woodchuck). Lineage: Eukaryota; Metazoa; Chordata; Mammalia; Rodentia; Sciuridae. The record is from RNAcentral.